This is a long non-coding RNA of Apodemus sylvaticus (European woodmouse), 2352 nucleotides long. RefSeq lists it as uncharacterized. NCBI's taxonomy places the organism in Eukaryota, Metazoa, Chordata, Mammalia, Rodentia, Muridae. The record is from RefSeq and is a predicted model, not a curated record. The transcript has 7 exons.
GACUCAUGCCAAACACUGUGAUCUAGUCUGCAGCUGUGCUGUUUCUUCCACUUGGCCAGCCACACUACUUUUCUUUUACUGGAGUGAGCAGAGGAAUGAAGCCAACUCCACUCCCAUACCUGGUUGUUGCGGUAUUUCCAUUUGUUGGCUGAUCUGGACGGAAGGUCCUAGGAGCAUUGAGGACCCACUCCACGAGGACAGCAGAGGCAUAAGAUGAAAGAACAUCUACCCCAAAUAUACAUAAAGAGCAGAAACAUGCAGGCGAGUGGCCUCUUAUGUCAGCAUGAAAAUAAAUGUUACGGCCUGAGGAGGAACAAGCCUCUCUAAGCAUCUUUUAAAAGAAGAAUGAGUCCAAGUGGAUUUCUCUGUUACACUCCAUUACCAACAGAAGAGUGCUGUGGCCAUGACAGAAACCACUUGGUCCUUGGAGAUGCCAGAGUACAUGUCUGCACCCUUAUUUCAUGAGUGGAUUUCCUGGGAAUGCGGAUAAAGUCACACAGCAUCUGGAAGAGUGGCGAACAUCUACUGAGCUAAUGCUUCAUGUGAGCUAGUUCAAGUCUCUUCUUUACCUGGGGCUGCUGCUAAACUCCUGGGGUCUCCUCCAGUGGAAAGCUUGGGAAAGGCAGUCUCUAUCCACACCAUGAAUGUUAUUCUCCUGGUCACUGAAGUCAAUUCAUCUCAUCUAACAGAUGGGAGGAAAAAUCACCAGGCAAUACAUAUAUUUCUCCUGCACCAGAAAGAUCUCUGUGCCACAACCCUGCCAUCUGUUGUCCUGAAUGUGGGUGUAUGGCACACCCUACAGCGAAGGAUCCUGGGAAACAUAUCUCUAUCGAUAUCACAGAAGAACAAGGGUGAGGUUGCUGAGCACAUAGCUGCCUCUGAUGAGGUUGUGCACUAUUAUGUGCACCCUGUAAUUACUGUUGGGGAAAAGAGACAGAACUCCUGGCUCUGUGUGGUUUGACAGCAAGCAGUCUGGAAGGAUGGAGGGCAUGCUUAGAUGGACUUCUAGAGAGCAUGUGUGGAGGAGACCAGAGGAAAACAUAAAGGGGUUGGUUCUCACCUUCCACUAAGUGGUUCCAGGCACUUUGAGAACCACUGUGCUCUACAGCAUUCCUUCUUCAGAAUCCUACAAGGGAGCUACUACUAAUGCACCCAUUUCCUGGUGAAAAACUGAGGCCCAGCUCAAUAAGAUGAUCCCACUGCAAACUUUGCAACACGUGAGGCUCUGUCUCUAAUUGAGUCAUUUCUGCAGGUGUGCUGUGCUGGGCUGCACAAUCCCACCCUAUAACAAAUGCAAACUGACAUUGCUUCUGUAUGAAGGGUGUUGGGAGACAAAACCCUAGGAAGAGCUGAGGCUUGCAAAAAAAAAAAAAAAAAAAAAAAAAAAAAAAAAAAACACGUGAAGGACAUGGUUUUUAACAAGGGCUUUCUGAGCUAAGUUCGGAGGGAGAGGAAAGGGAAGAGAUUGGGAAGCGGUGAUGCAAUUCGGCCAGAUGACCAUGGAAAGCAGAAGGUCUCUGGCCUCCAGCUUCUGCCAUGAGAAACAGACCCCAGAGCUGGCAUGCUCACCGUGGAAAGAGAACAUAAGCACUAACUUUGGAAUGGAAGCUCAGGGCUCCUGUACGUAAUUAGGGGAUUAGCAACUCAGUUCACUACAAGGACAGUCUUGUAAAGAAUGACUGAAGUCUGCAGAUGUGGCCAUGGGCUGUCAUGUGAGAGGACUAGCUUCAUCCCACUCCAAUGUGUCAAGACCUAUGAGUGCAAAUAGAGCAGCACUUCCUUAUAUUGAUAUCCGCCCCUCCCCCAGCCCUUAAUAUGAAAGACCCCACUGUCAACUUGAGAAUAGCAAGGAUCUCUUUGUAGCUGACUCGUCUCUGCAGGGACAGUGUUCUUGAUAAACUAGAAUACAGAAAGAAUUAAAAACUCAGAAUUUCACAUGAUGGUAAGGAAUCAAGUUUUUCCCCAGGUCCCAUUCAGCUCUAGAUAAUUCUCUCUUUGAGGACUGAAUUCAGCUCUAGGAGGCCAUUUUGCAAAAUCUUCUCAAACUUAAUGUGGCUGGUUAAUGACUUAAGACUGCUACAAGAUGGAAUGCCAAAGAAUUGUCACCCAAGGGUCUGGGUGGAAUCCUGAAUUAGACCAGUUCUUGACUUGGAUUUCUAGAAAAGCCUAGACUUUUCCAGCUUGAAGUUUACCUACUUCAGUUGGCAUUCCUAUACAUCCUUCCUCAACCCCCUGCUAAAUACUCCCCUAAAGUUUAUGUAGAAAGACCUUUUUAUAUUUGUACACAGUUCUUUUGCUUUCAAACUUUGAAAAAGCCCAUCCUUUGGUGCCUGUAGACUGAGAUAAUAAAUA